Molecule: transfer RNA, 85 nt
Filed under: Felis catus (domestic cat)
Lineage: Eukaryota; Metazoa; Chordata; Mammalia; Carnivora; Felidae
Rfam family: tRNA
About the family: Transfer RNA (tRNA) molecules are approximately 80 nucleotides in length. Their secondary structure includes four short double-helical elements and three loops (D, anti-codon, and T loops).
Source: Rfam by way of RNAcentral
GCCUGGGUGGCUCAGUGGGUUAAGCGUCUGACUUCGGCUCAAAUCACGAUCUCGCAGUUUGUGGGUUCAAGCCCCGCGUCAGGCU